GGCGCACGGGUGCGUAACGCGUAUGCAACCUACCCUCAACCGGGGGCAUAACGCCGAGAAAUUGGCGCUAAUAUCCCAUGUGUAUAAGAGGUGGCAUCACCUAUUAUAUAAAGAUCCGUUGGUUAAGGAUGGGCAUGCGUAACAUUAGCUAGUUGGCGGGGUAACGGCCCACCAAGGCGACGAUGUUUAGGGUUCUGAGAGGAUUCACCCCCACACUGGAACUGAGACACGGUCCAGACUCCUACGGGAGGCAGCAGUAGGGAAUAUUGGGCAAUGGAGGCAACUCUGACCCAGCCAUGCCCGCGUGAAGGAAGACGGCCCUAUGGGUUGUAAACUUCUUUGCCGCAGAGUAACCCGGGGGACGCCGUCCCCCGCUGAGAGUAUGCGGCGAAUAAGUAUCGGCUAACUCCGUGCCAGCAGCCGC
RNAcentral lists this ribosomal RNA (424 nucleotides) under uncultured bacterium. RNAcentral's name for it is "bacterial SSU rRNA". It matches the Rfam family "Bacterial small subunit ribosomal RNA", at positions 97 to 518 of the family's 1533-position model. The record is from RNAcentral.